Molecule: small RNA, 203 nt
Filed under: Podarcis lilfordi (Lilford's wall lizard)
Lineage: Eukaryota; Metazoa; Chordata; Lepidosauria; Squamata; Lacertidae
Description: 7SK RNA
Rfam family: 7SK RNA
About the family: 7SK was discovered as an abundant small nuclear RNA in the mid-70s but a possible function has only recently been suggested. Two independent studies have found that 7SK RNA binds the CDK9/cyclin T complex (known as elongation factor P-TEFb). P-TEFb activates transcription by phosphorylating the C-terminal domain of RNA polymerase II.
Source: Rfam by way of RNAcentral
UGGUGUGAGGGCGAUCUGGCUGCGACAUCUGUCACCCCAUUGAUCGCCAGGGUUGAUUCGGCUGAUCUGGCUGGCUAGGCGGGUGUCCCCUUCCUCCCUCACUGCUCCAUGUGCAUCCCUCCCGAAGCUGCGCGUUCGGUGGAAGAGGACGACCAUCCCAGAUAGAAGGAGUGUACCGUUCUUCGGUCAAGGGUAUACGAUAG